This 703-nucleotide long non-coding RNA is filed under the name Homo sapiens (human). RNAcentral describes it as "HSALNT0375470". The record is from RNAcentral. Lineage: Eukaryota; Metazoa; Chordata; Mammalia; Primates; Hominidae.
AACUCCUGACCUCAAGUGAUCCGCCCACCUCGGCCUCCCAAAGUGCUGGGAUUACAGGCAUGAGCCACCGCUCCGGGCCCUUGCACAUAUUUUUUUAUGAACACACAGGCAGCAGCACUUUGAUUACAGUAACUUACAUGGAAGUUAUUUUAAAAUGGCUUUCCCCUUCUCUUUUUCAUGUAGGCUGCAUUUUUCAUCUGCAGCACGCUUUCUCUCAAGAAUCUCAAGCACACACAAGAAACCAGAGAGUAAAAUCACUGAGGCGUGAACACAUCCAGAGACCAAGGGCGUCACUGGCAGAAAAGCUUUUAGGCGGAUCCACGGCCCGAGAGCCACCCUGCCCAGAGACGCGGUUUCCUAGGAGCAGUUCACACGCGGCUCUGCAGCACCCACAAGCGGGGCCAGGGGCUGGUUUUCAUAGUUCACAGUCUGCAGGGAUCUUAACAAAAACAUGGCCGUGGUAAAAGUGCCUAGACCAGGCUUUCGUCACAACUCAUCAUGUUACUAGGUUAGGAUAAUAAAAAGGACUGUGAACUUCACAUCUGCCAUCUAUAAUAGAUUCUUAUUGUAGCAAUCUUGCACCAAGGGGAUUUCUUUAUUAACUCUGCCAAAUUUUCCAAAAUUACCAAAUGGAGAAAAGAGCUGGUCCCAUCUGUCACCAGGCACAACCAGACCGGGCGCUGUGGCUCAAGCCUGUAAUCCC